AUUGAACGCUGGCGGCAGGCCUAACACAUGCAAGUCGAACGGUAACAGGAAGAAGCUUGCUUCUUUGCUGACGAGUGGCGGACGGGUGAGUAAUGUCUGGGAAACUGCCUGAUGGAGGGGGAUAACUACUGGAAACGGUAGCUAAUACCGCAUAACGUCGCAAGACCAAAGAGGGGGACCUUCGGGCCUCUUGCCAUCGGAUGUGCCCAGAUGGGAUUAGCUAGUAGGUGGGGUAACGGCUCACCUAGGCGACGAUCCCUAGCUGGUCUGAGAGGAUGACCAGCCACCCUGGAACUGAGCCACGGUCCAGACUCCUACGGGAGGCAGCAGUGGGGAAUAUUGCACAAUGGGGGCAAGCCUGAUGCAGCCAUGCCGCGUGUAUGAAGAAGGCCUUCGGGUUGUAAAGUACUUUCAGCGGGGAGGAAGGGAGUAAAGUUAAUACCUUUGCUCAUUGACGUUACCCGCAGAAGAAGCACCGGCUAACUCCGUG
Molecule: ribosomal RNA, 490 nt
Filed under: uncultured bacterium
Lineage: Bacteria
Description: partial 16S ribosomal RNA
Rfam family: Bacterial small subunit ribosomal RNA
Source: RNAcentral